Molecule: ribosomal RNA, 228 nt
Filed under: uncultured bacterium
Lineage: Bacteria
Description: partial 16S ribosomal RNA
Rfam family: Bacterial small subunit ribosomal RNA
Source: RNAcentral
UCCGUAGGUGGAUAAUUAAGUCAGAGGUGAAAUCCUGCAGCUCAACUGUAGAAUUGCCUUUGAUACUGGUUAUCUUGAGUUAUUAUGAAGUAGUUAGAAUAUGUAGUGUAGCGGUGAAAUGCAUAGAUAUUACAUAGAAUACCAAUUGCGAAGGCAGAUUACUAAUAAUAUACUGACACUGAUGGACGAAAGCGUGGGGACUAACAGGAUUAGAUACCCUGGUAGUCC